Molecule: long non-coding RNA, 548 nt
Filed under: Ictidomys tridecemlineatus (thirteen-lined ground squirrel)
Lineage: Eukaryota; Metazoa; Chordata; Mammalia; Rodentia; Sciuridae
Description: lncRNA (ENSSTOG00000030756.1)
Source: RNAcentral
CCCAGUAGAAGCGAGCCUGCACCAAGUCUGUGCCCUUCUAAGCCUCUUCCAACUACCCACUCACUCACUGGCCUUUGCCCCUCUGCCUUCAUCUCCAAAACUGAGGCUCUGCAAGUUGCAAUUAAUGCUCUCAUCUUCCUAAGGCAAACCCAUAACUCCAGUCCCAGGAUCCCACCUGUGACCAGCUCAUCCAGCAAUGACUGCUCCCCUUAAAACACAGAGAAGGAAAUGAACUCCUUUCUAAUUAGUCAAGAUCCUGCCAAGAUUUCCUUGUAAAUAAAACUGUCUGCAUGGAGUGUGAUUUUGAAAACAGCCUUCAGGGGACAGAAGAGGAGCUGGCUUCUUUGUGGAAAGAAGCCCAGAAGGAUAAGCAUCUACUGGGGACCCUGAGGAAUCCCCCAGUCAUGUUUGAAGUCUGCAAGUCCAAACAGCAGACAGAGCUCAGGGAGGAGACCGCCACGUGGAAUCCACCCACCCUCCAUCCCCAUCUCCAGCCUUCUUCCGUGGUUGCCCGCUGUCUGCCAGAUCAAACAGAACAAGGUGGCUAA